This 760-nucleotide ribosomal RNA is filed under the name bacterium KB2F. RNAcentral's name for it is "bacterial SSU rRNA". It matches the Rfam family "Bacterial small subunit ribosomal RNA", at positions 34 to 776 of the family's 1533-position model. The record is from RNAcentral.
CAUUGGGGGCGUGCCUUAAUAGUGCAGGUCGAGCGGACAGAUGGGAGCUUGCUCCCUGAUGUUAGCGGCGGACGGGUGAGUAACACGUGGGUAACCUGCCUGUAAGACUGGGAUAACUCCGGGAAACCGGGGCUAAUACCGGAUGCUUGUUUGAACCGCAUGGUUCAAACAUAAAAGGUGGCUUCGGCUACCACUUACAGAUGGACCCGCGGCGCAUUAGCUAGUUGGUGAGGUAAUGGCUCACCAAGGCAACGAUGCGUAGCCGACCUGAGAGGGUGAUCGGCCACACUGGGACUGAGACACGGCCCAGACUCCUACGGGAGGCAGCAGUAGGGAAUCUUCCGCAAUGGACGAAAGUCUGACGGAGCAACGCCGCGUGAGUGAUGAAGGUUUUCGGAUCGUAAAGCUCUGUUGUUAGGGAAGAACAAGUACCGUUCGAAUAGGGCGGUACCUUGACGGUACCUAACCAGAAAGCCACGGCUAACUACGUGCCAGCAGCCGCGGUAAUACGUAGGUGGCAAGCGUUGUCCGGAAUUAUUGGGCGUAAAGGGCUCGCAGGCGGUUUCUUAAGUCUGAUGUGAAAGCCCCCGGCUCAACCGGGGAGGGUCAUUGGAAACUGGGGAACUUGAGUGCAGAAGAGGAGAGUGGAAUUCCACGUGUAGCGGUGAAAUGCGUAGAGAUGUGGAGGAACACCAGUGGCGAAGGCGACUCUCUGGUCUGUAACUGACGCUGAGGAGCGAAAGCGUGGGGAGCGAACAGG